CCUACGGGUGGCAGCAGUGAGGAAUAUUGGUCAAUGGACGAGAGUCUGAACCAGCCAAGUAGCGUGAAGGAUGACUGCCCUAUGGGUUGUAAACUUCUUUUAUAUGGGAAUAAAACGUUCCACGUGUGGGAUUUUGUAUGUACCAUAUGAAUAAGGAUCGGCUAACUCCGUGCCAGCAGCCGCGGUAAUACGGAGGAGCCGAGCGUUAUCCGGAUUUAUUGGGUUUAAAGGGAGCGUAGGUGGAUUGUUAAGUCAGUUGUGAAAGUUUGCGGCUCAACCGUAAAAUUGCAGUGGAAACUGGCAGUCUUGAGUACAGUAGAGGUGGGCGGAAUUCGUGGUGUAGCGGUGAAAUGCUUAGAUAUCACGAAGAACUCCGAUUGCGAAGGCAGUUCACUGGACUGCAACUGACACUGAGGCUCGAAAGUGUGGGUAUCAAACAGGAUUAGAUAACCGAGUAGUC
Molecule: ribosomal RNA, 460 nt
Filed under: uncultured bacterium
Lineage: Bacteria
Description: partial 16S ribosomal RNA
Rfam family: Bacterial small subunit ribosomal RNA
Source: RNAcentral